GUGCUCUUUUAAGCAGCACAUAUGCUAAAAUGGAUGGAUGUAAAGAAGAUUAGCAUGGGCUCUGUGCAAAGAUGGCAUAUACAUUUGUGAAACAUUCAUGUAGUCU
RNAcentral lists this small nuclear RNA (106 nucleotides) under Jaculus jaculus (lesser Egyptian jerboa). Lineage: Eukaryota; Metazoa; Chordata; Mammalia; Rodentia; Dipodidae. The record is from RNAcentral.